This is a long non-coding RNA of Microtus ochrogaster (prairie vole), 2600 nucleotides long. RefSeq lists it as uncharacterized. NCBI's taxonomy places the organism in Eukaryota, Metazoa, Chordata, Mammalia, Rodentia, Cricetidae. The record is from RefSeq and is a predicted model, not a curated record. The transcript has 6 exons.
UGUGCUUCUGGGUACCACAGAGGGAAAACUCCCAGAAAGCGGUGCCUGGGGACCACGCCCUCUGCUGGCUCCUUGUGUGCCCUGCAGUUUCAGCAACCACAGCGAUGUCUGUGACCUGGAAACUGGGCAGUGUCUGGUGCUCUACAGGCUAUCAUGGCAACCCUCGUGCAGCAGGUGGCAGCUGCCAGAAGUGUGACUGUCACCCCCAAGGCUCUGUCCACAGUGACUGUGACCGCACAUCUGGGCAAUGUGUUUGCAAGCCAGGAGCCACGGGACUCCACUGUGAGGAAUGCCGGCCAAGACACAUCUUGACGGAGAGCGACUGUGUGUCCUUGAUGAUGAGUAUGUGGGCGCCUCGCUGAAUGACCUGGAUACUAUUGGCGACGCUGUUCUGUCUCUGAACCUCAUUGGCGUUUUUUCUGCUCCAUUUGGGACUUUGUCAAGUCUGGAAAACAGCUAAAUAUUUCCAGCCAACAACUUAAGUUUGGAAAAGCUGUUUCCUAUGAAAAACUGGAGAAACUAGGAGAAGGACCUUAUGCAACGGUCUAAAAAGGGAAAAGCAAGCCAGUCGCCCGCGGCCCUCAAGGAGGCAGAGGAGCAGGCGGAGUUCUUCCCCGGUGCGGCGCGCCCUCGCUGCUUUCGUCUGCACUGCGCACGCUGGACCAGUUUCGCGAAGUUGCCUGGGCCCUGAACAGCCCAGAUGCGGGACCUCAAUGAGCCACAGCCAAGCGGGAAGAUUGGCAGGAUGAAGAACUUUGUCAGAGAGUUUCAGCAGCAUCGCAGAACUCCAAGUGUUAAACAGUGAAGAGUGACACGUUGCCGUCAUACAGCCUCAGCUCCAGAGACAGAAGGCACGAGGAAACAAAUUCACACUGUCUGAACGGUACCUAACACUCUGGACAAAACAUAUCAAAAAGGACAAAGGGUAAGGGACAAGGCAGAGAAGUGUCAGGAAGGACUUUCUAAGGGGACUGGGAGCAGACAUGCAAAGGAAGGAAGAGAUGAGCGCGUCCAAGAGAAGAUGAUGCAGCACUUGCAGUGACCCGAGCCGAGGCACACUCGGUCUUAACAAAAGCUAGCAGGCUGUGGUAGCCCAAACACACACAACAAACCCACAGUGUUUGUCUCUAAACCAGCCUCUUCCUGUGGACUCUUUUGUCCUAUUGUGAUCCCCCUGAACCUCUCUUCCACCACCGCUGUGUCUGGACGGGGGUGCAAUUGUAGCUGAGGUAGAUGGGAGCUGCACAUGGCCUUUGGCAGCUGUGGAGACUAGAGACUUCCCUGCUGGAUGCACACUGCCUCCAGACCGGGAUGAGGAUGGAGGCCAUGAAACCAGUGAGGAAGCUGAGGAGUGACUGGUCAUUAAACAGGAAUGUCAUCAGGUUUCAGUCUGAACAGCGGCCUGCAGGCCCCACCCUCCUGUGCACGUCAUCUCCCUCCCAACAUAGACAUAGUUUCAAAGAAUAAAAUAAAUCUUGAAAUAACAACAAAACAACAGCCAAGGAGAUGUUACUGUCUACAUGGAAGACUGAGGUUUUGGAGCUGGGUUCAAGUGCCUCUGGCUUGCCUGGGCUAGGAUGCCUGAACAUUUUUUUAACAGUAAAUGACAAUUGAUCAUAAAAGUUUUAAAGUCGUAUGUAAAUUUCUCAUAGUUGAUAAAAACCAAAAAUCUUUCCUCGUUCAACUGGGCUGUCCUGGGAUACUUUUCCCAAAUCCAAAUUCUUCGUUAAGGAAAAUAUGCUCUCUGUCUGUUUGAGGGUCUUGAAGAUGCGAAGUGUGAGGUGCACUCUGUCCUCUCAAGGCAGAGCUAACACUUUAUGUGGGUCAUGUUAGCCUUUGAGGAGCAAAGAAACCAGGCAGUGAGGGAUGAUGCUCACACCAAUGCCCUUGGAUCUGUGGACUGAAAGGCAUGGGUGGGGGUAUCCCAGGCUCACAGGAGAAAGAAGGAGGAGGGAAUGAGCACUAUUGAAGAUUACUUUGGUUUCUGUGUUUUUCAACGCUGGACCAAAAGCCUGAAGGAGAAUCUACUCUGGAGACUCCAUUUGUCCCAACUCAGUCUGGUUCCUUGUGCCCGCCUGCAGCAAACAGAGUGCACGUCCACAUCCUACAUCGACAGAUGGUUUACCAGCAUCUCAAGAAGAGGCUGAGGGAGACCCAUGCAGGAUCUCUAUCUAAGGAACUUGACAGCGCUCCUACAAUCUGUGUCCAUGGAGCACAAGAGAGAAUUCCUACUCCCCGACCCCAGGGUGCAAGCCACAGCAGCCGUACCUGUCUCAGCAUGGACUUGAAAACGUGGUAUCGGAGUCGCUUGGUGAGGAUCUCUCCAGCUUUGCCAAACGUGAAGCCCUAAGAAGAAUGAGAAAGCGUCACACAGAAGGCUGGCCAGGAACUCAGACACCAAACACACAGGGGAUGGAUGCUAAACUAAUCUCGGGCUCCCAUUCUCAUGUCUCCAUCUCUGUUCUAAACUCUAUAGCACAUUGAACUACUGUGAUCAGGUCGAGGGCUGUAGUAGGGAAAAGGGUAGAGAGGAGGAAGGGGCAAGAAGAGGAGGCAGAGCCACAGAACUGGUACAGUCCAGGUGAUGAAAGAGGUACUAU